Molecule: ribosomal RNA, 465 nt
Filed under: uncultured bacterium
Lineage: Bacteria
Description: partial 16S ribosomal RNA
Rfam family: Bacterial small subunit ribosomal RNA
Source: RNAcentral
CCUACGGGGGGCAGCAGUGGGGAAUAUUGCGCAAUGGGCGAAAGCCUGACGCAGCGACGCCGCGUGAGGGAUGAAGGUCUUCGGAUCGUAAACCUCUGUCAGCAGGGAAGAACGGUCACUGUGCUAAUCAGCAGUGAAUUGACGGUACCUGCAAAGGAAGCACCGGCUAACUCCGGGCCAGCAGCCGCGGUAAUACGGAGGGUGCGAGCGUUAAGCGGAAUUACUGGGCGUAAAGCGCUCGUAGGCGGUAUGUCAAGUCAAGGGGGAAAUCCCCGCGGUCAACGUGGGAACUGCCUUUGAAACUGGCAAACUGGAGUGUGUGAGAGGAUAGUGGAAUUCCAGGUGUAGGAGUGAAAUCCGUAGAUAUCUGGAGGAACAUCAGUGGCGAAGGCGACUAUCUGGCACAUAACUGACGCUGAGGAGCGAAAGCGUGGGUAGCAAACAGGAUUAGAUACCCGAGUAGUC